This 433-nucleotide ribosomal RNA is filed under the name Anoxybacillus flavithermus. RNAcentral describes it as "partial 23S ribosomal RNA". It matches the Rfam family "Bacterial large subunit ribosomal RNA", at positions 606 to 1038 of the family's 2925-position model. The record is from RNAcentral. Lineage: Bacteria; Bacillati; Bacillota; Bacilli; Caryophanales; Anoxybacillaceae.
UUUUGUAGAAUGAUCGGGGUGUUGAGGACGUAGGGUGAGGUUAAGUCGAAAAGACGGAGCCGUAGCGAAAGCGCGUCUGAAUAGGGCGUAUAGUACGAGGUAGUAGACCCGAAACCAGGUGAUAUACCCAUGUCCAGGGUGAAGGUAGGUUAAUACCUACUGGAGGCCCGAAACCACGCACGUUGAAAAGUGCGGGGAUGAGGUGUGGGUAGGGGUGAAAUGCCAAUCGAACUUGUAGAUAGCUGGUUCUCCCCGAAAUAGCUUUAGGGCUAGCCUCGAGUUGAGAGUCUUGUAGGUAGAGCACUGAUUGGGCUAGGGGCCCUCAUCGUGUUACCGAACUCAGUCAAACUCCGAAUGCCAAUGACUUAUACUCGGGAGUCAGACUACGCGUGAUAAGAUCCGUGGUCAAGAGGGAAACAGCCCAGAUCACCAG